UCGCCAUCUAUGGCACCGGUCUUCUCUUGGGUAGGUGUUCCUCCAGAUUUUCUUUCUCCCUUUCUAUUUUUAUCACCUCACCGGUGUUUAUCAAUCUGGUAGGUAGCACUUCCGCUUGAAAGCUACUUGACAUUUUGCCUCCCCCUCUAUUUGAUUGAAUUUUUAUUGGAUUAUGCGUACUGCUCACUCAAGCCCACUGAUUUAAUUGGGUUUCGAUUGGAUUGUGAAUCUUGGCCGCUCAAGCAAGAAGAAAAAGGUUGUCAUCAUGUGUUUGGCAUACAGCAGUACCUGCUUGGAGGUUGCAAAGAUGGAUAACCCCGAAAGUUCUGAAAACCCCGCGAGCCAUCAAGUGGAGGAGGGUAGAUCUUCCAGAGUGACAAACAACAGAAGCAGAGUUUGUGCGUCUUCUCAUAUCACAUACAACCAAACAUCGCAUUCGCCAUUUUUUAUUUUUAUCCUCAAACAGCAUUUCAGGCAACAAUUCUGCAGCAGACAUCU
This is a long non-coding RNA of Lolium rigidum, 498 nucleotides long. RefSeq lists it as uncharacterized. The transcript is spliced from 3 exons. The record is from RefSeq and is a predicted model, not a curated record. Lineage: Eukaryota; Viridiplantae; Streptophyta; Magnoliopsida; Poales; Poaceae.